Anneissia japonica is the source of this 695-nucleotide long non-coding RNA. RefSeq lists it as uncharacterized. The transcript is spliced from 4 exons. The record is from RefSeq and is a predicted model, not a curated record. NCBI's taxonomy places the organism in Eukaryota, Metazoa, Echinodermata, Crinoidea, Comatulida, Comatulidae.
UGUAUAUAACCCACGUUGCUGUAUUGAUGAUUCUUCACACUAAGUGAAUUUAUUCAUUGAUUGAGAGACUGGAGACUCGAAAUCUACGUUGUUCAACUUCUUUACCAUUGUGAGAAAUUCAACAAAUUUUCAAGAUGCCAAAUCCAUGCGAUUGCAAGACAACUGGAAACUGUAUCUGUGCUAGCCAGGAGUGUCCAGAUGGCUGCAAAAACUGCAGCUGCGGCUCUGGAUGCGAGUGCAAGGAAGGCGGAUCAUGCGCAUGCAAGGGUGCUGCUGACUGCUGUCAAGGAUCUGCAUGCAAGUGUGGGCCAGAAUGCAAGUGCCCUGCUGGCUGUGCCUGCUGCAACUAGGCUGUGUGUACCGUAGGCCUAGCCUGCAUCAAAAUUCAGUAUGUCAACAGUGAACCAUCCAUCCAAUUGCAACUGGUCUACCAGUUUGUUACCAUGGAGACGUGCACUAUUUCACUCACUGAGAAUCUAUAGCCAUGAAAAUGUAUUGACCUUUUGACUGCUGAAUUCAAAUUCGCAUAUUUUUUAUAGUACACAGUGUAGCACGAACAGUAAUGUUAUGUAAUCCCAAAGAUUUGUAUCCUUGCCACUAUUUUUUUUAAUGAAUCAUUAAUACCAAUGGUGGACAUUUGAACAACUGUAUUUCUUUUGUAUAUAAUCCGGAAUAAAGUCUUAGAUAUUUCAGUA